Molecule: ribosomal RNA, 420 nt
Filed under: uncultured bacterium
Lineage: Bacteria
Description: bacterial SSU rRNA
Rfam family: Bacterial small subunit ribosomal RNA
Source: RNAcentral
AACGAACGCUGGCGGCGCGCCUAAUACAUGCAAGUCGAGCGAGAAGACGUAGCAAUACGUUUGUAGAGCGGCGAACGGGUGAGGAAUACAUGGGUAACCUACCCUCGAGUGGGGAAUAACUAGCCGAAAGGUUAGCUAAUACCGCGUACGCUCCUUGGACUUCGGUUCAGGGAGGAAAGCGAUACCGUGGGUAUCGCGCUCUUGGAUGGGCUCAUGUCCUAUCAGCUUGUUGGUGAGGUAACGGCUCACCAAGGCUUCGACGGGUAGCUGGUCUGAGAGGACGAUCAGCCACACUGGCACUGCGACACGGGCCAGACUCCUACGGGAGGCAGCAGUAAGGAAUAUUGCGCAAUGGGCGAAAGCCUGACGCAGCGACGCCGCGUGGGGGAUGAAGGUCUUCGGAUUGUAAACCCCUUUCGG